RNAcentral lists this ribosomal RNA (484 nucleotides) under uncultured bacterium. Its description in RNAcentral is "partial 16S ribosomal RNA". It matches the Rfam family "Bacterial small subunit ribosomal RNA", at positions 30 to 507 of the family's 1533-position model. The record is from RNAcentral.
AUUGAACGCUGGCGGCAGGCCUAACACAUGCAAGUCGAGCGGAUGAAGGGAGCUUGCUCCUGGAUUCAGCGGCGGACGGGUGAGUAAUGCCUAGGAGUCUGCCUGGUAGUGGGGGAUAACGUCCGGAAACGGGCGCUAAUACCGCAUACGUCCUGAGGUAGAAAGUGGGGGAUCUUCGGACCUCACGCUAUCAGAUGAGCCUAGGUCGGAUUAGCUAGUUGGUGGGGUAAAGGCCUACCAAGGCGACGAUCCGUAACUGGUCUGAGAGGAUGAUCAGUCACACUGGAACUGAGACACGGUCCAGACUCCUACGGGAGGCAGCAGUGGGGAAUAUUGGACAAUGGGCGAAAGCCUGAUCCAGCCAUGCCGCGUGUGUGAAGAAGGUCUUCGGAUUGUAAAGCACUUUAAGUUGGGAGGAAGGGCAGUAAGUUAAUACCUUGCUGUUUUGACGUUACCAACAGAAUAAGCACCGGCUAACUUCGUG